Molecule: long non-coding RNA, 4678 nt
Organism: Acinonyx jubatus (cheetah)
Lineage: Eukaryota; Metazoa; Chordata; Mammalia; Carnivora; Felidae
Exons: 5
Source: RefSeq, a predicted model, not a curated record
GCUGCCAAAGCAGGAGGGACCCUCCCCCCCGCCCCCCCACCCCAAAUCUGUUUGGGAUGUUGGACUGAUGACACCACAUACAAUCCAUGAGAGUCUGAAAUGAUUUGUUACUUACAUCACUGAGGUGUAGUGGAGAGCAGGGGCCUCCUCUCAAGCAGACUGAAAUGGCUGGUGAGUGAGGGCAGGGGCCUGGCUUGAGUUUUUAUUGUUAGGGGUUGAGCCUGGGUGAAGGUUCCUGAGUGCUUGUGGUGGUCUGCAUCUCCCACAGGCACCAAAGAAGGGGCUUUGUUAUCAGCUUGUUCAAAUAUGGGCACAAGGGACAGAGGGAGAUGGGAGAGGCUUAAAAGCUGUCCGCCAACAACGAUCAACACUGGAGUUCGACUUCUCAGUACAGUGGCCAGUCCACUUCCUCACCUGAAACAAAGCUUUUCUUUCCCUUGAAUUCUGAAGCAAAUCGCUAAUGGGAGAAUACUGUGGCCCCCACUUAGGAGCCUCAGGGGAUACAGUCCAAGACCCUCCCAGUGGAUGCCUGAAACUGUAGAAAGUACAUAUUGUUCUAUGUUUUUUUUCCCUAUGCAUUCAUACUUAUAGUAAUGUUUAAUUUUUAAGUUAGGCAGAGUAAGAGAUCAAUAGCAAUAACUAAUAAUAAAACACAACAAUUAUAACAAUAUGAUAUAAUAAAAGUUAUUUGAAUGUGGUCUCUCUCUUAAAAUAUUAUAUGGUGCUGUACUCAACCUUCUUCCUGUGAUGAUGUGAGAUGAUAAAAUGCCUGCAUGAUGAGAUGAAGUGAGGUAAAUGAUCUAGGUAGGCACUGUGACAUCGUGUGAGGCUGUUGUGACUUUCUGUUAUGUCAGGAAGACCAUCUGCUUCCAGACUGCGGUUAACCGCGAGAGACUAAAACCUCAGAAAGCAAAACCAUGGAUAAGGAGGGACUACUGUAUAGGCAGAGAAGCGACACAUGACAACAGACAAUGUUCUUCACCUCAGCAUGAUUUUCAUAACAGAUGCACGGAUGGAUUUCCCUUCUUGUAAAACUGCAGCUCAGGGAAAGCAAGUCUAUGAGCGACUUAAAUAUAAUUCACAGAGGUUGAAGGAUAAAGUAAGAGGAGAUAAAUGAUAUGGCCUGGAAGAGACAUACACUACUAUGAGACAGAUGCCACCCCCAUUGGCGGUUGUGUAUCACUUCCUGAAUACAUCAUUCUGAUGCAGUACUUGGAAACAGGCUUCAAGGCUGCAAAUCAUAGACUGAGGGACAAAUAGUGCUUCUCUUUGAGGCAAGCUAAUCAUUUGAUGAGCUAAUCAUCUAUAUCUCCAGCACUGUGCACAUUCCUAGUGUCAAAGGAAUAAAAGGAACUUAGAGCUGGAAAGAGGUGACAGCUAACUGGUUUCAUCUACUUUGAUUUGUGUUAUGCAGCAGAAUUUUUGGAUGCCAGAUGUCUAAAACACAUAGGUUAAAAGCAGGUCAGUUUCAACUCAAGACUAUCAUUUUACAGUUUAGUGAAUAUAUUUACAAAUUCCAUAGUAACAAGCCUGUUGACACUGGCACAGUGAAAUUAUUAUCCUCAACAAAUAAUCCAGUACAAAAGUGUUUUCUUCAGACCCUGUGUGCCUAUCAGUCACUGAUGAGAGCCCAGCACCUGACGAUAGGGCUUAUGAAAGUUUGAAGUGGAGGAAGAGGAGCUGUAGCUUGGGGCUCUUGUUAAUGACUCCCGCGUCCUCACUCUGCAGCCAAGCCUGGCAAAGUCCACAAGAAACAGCAGGGCUUAAAUAGCUCACUGCUAGUCCUAGCAGGGUUCUUGUCAGUCAGAUAUAUUCACUGCAUACCUAUUGUGUGCAGAACGUAGCGUUUCACUUGCCAAUUCAGCACUGAGAGGUUGGUUUAGCCCUUUUUAUCUUUAUGACCUGCAGACUGGUAACAGCAUUUCUAGCAGUGUGUUCAUUUUAACAAUAAUUUAUUCCAAUAAAACAAGGUGGAUGUUCCCUAGAUAUGGACACCAUAUGCCCUGAAUUUUCUGGGCUAAUCUUGAUUUCAUGUAAUUUUAUUUUCAUUACAAUAAAGGCAAUUAGUGAAAUACAUAAUGAAAUGUGAUUUCAAUUUUUUAUAUUAUUCUGAGACUUCAUAUAAUGAAUUGGCAUAUCAGGAAAAAAAUAUUUUGCUAGAUUACAUGUAUGGAUUUCUUUGGAAAAUGUGGUUACUGGGUAGGUCAUGGUGAUCCUUAUUUUUACUUCUUGAACAAAAACCAUGCUCUUUCAGGAGGGUGUUCUAGCACCUAUGUAAACCUUUGGCUCCACUGAUGACUUCCCAGCUCUUCCGUUUCCCCUUCAAGGAACAUUAAAGGCUGUAUUCUGAUAUAGCCAUGGAUCUUAACAUCUGUUAAGAAAUUUUAGGUUUCAAGUAAUAGAGACACCAGCUUAAACUGACAUAAAAAUACGGGAGAUUUAUUAGGUCAUAUACUUGAAAAGGUAAGUCAGGGCUGGCUGUAAUUGAGGCUUAACUUGGAAACUCAUAUAAUGUUGUCCAGGACUGGUUUUGUCUCAAGUUUCCCUGUCCUUUGUGUUGACUUCAUCCUCAGAUUCCACACAGGGCCGUGGAUAGCCCUCAGUUACCUUCAGCGUCUCAAAAUGGCCCUAGCAGUUCUAGACCUUUCAUCUUUACUCCUCACUGGCAAGGAAAAGAAAGAUUUCUUUUGGUAGCAUCCAUGAAAGAACUAAUUUCAGUACCAGAAACCCUAGCAAACCUUUCUUCUGGUUCGUUGGUUCUGCUUGGGUUCUGUGUCUUGUCAUCAACCGAUUAGGUCCCACUUUAAAAUUUGGGGUGAGGUCAAUCAUAUCUAUGCCAUGCCAUGUGAUUAAAAAUGGUUCCUCCAAAACAAAAUUAGGGAGGGGAAGGAUGCUGGAAAGAAUGAAAUAUCAAAUGUCUACUAUAAGGCUCUGUGUUUGUGCAUACCGUUAAAACACAAUUUCCUAGAGUAAAAGAGCAAUUUGCAAUGCAAAGCAGUCAAAUCAUAUUAUCUGUACAUGUUGAGUGGUCAGCCAGACUCACACACUGGCUGAAAGGUUGGUUUUUUUGUUGUUUUUUUUUUUUUUUUUUUCUGAAGACGAGGCACAUAGUUCAUAAGGUGAAAUUUCAUGCCUGACACAGAGUGUUGCACCCAGGAGAUGGGCAGGUUUACUCAUAUUUAGUCAGAAUUACAAAUAGAUCAAGAAACUCCAGGUCGGCAGAACAAAGAAAUAUAAUAAUAUCAGUAUUUCUCUUAAAAAGCAUGGGAAUUAUGAGGAUUCCAGAGGCCCUCAGAUCAUGGAACAAAGAAGAACAUCCUAGAAUUAUGAAGCUAAGGUGAAAUCCUGAAUAUGCUGUCUCCUAAACUUACUCCACUAUAAGAAUUAUCUGGGGGAACUUGUUUAAAACACAGAUGUUCGAGUUCCACCCCAAACUUUCUGAAUCAGUAGCUCCAGGGGAAGGGCCUAAUAAUCUGUAUUUUCAAAAGCAAGCAAAUUGGGAAACAUCAAUUUACUCUACAUCUCCCACUCAUCUGUGAAAAUCCCAUAAAUUUGUAUUAGAACAGGGAGGAUACUGCUUGCAAUUGCCUCAUUUAUUCAUUCAGCAAAUAUUUAUUUUACAUUUAUUCUGUUCUAGAUACAAUGCUUCUAGGCAGUAAAUAUACAGAGUAUAGUCAGAUAAAGCCUCUGGAUUCAUGGAAUUUAUGGUGUUAUAGGGAACACAAUUAAUAAAUUAGAAUUACAUAGACACAUGAUUACUACAAAGGGGAAUUAUAGACUGCUUGAGGAAUGAUUAGGAGAGCUAGUGUCAUCAAGAGAGCCUUAACUACUUACCCAUUGGUGUUUUCACGCAUAUGAGAUACAACUGAAUGUCCAGUAGGAGAUGACAAACAUGAGAACGAGUCCAAGAUAGACCACACUCCACUGAUGACCAGGGAAGCAAACUGGCCAGAUCAUAGAGAUCCUAAGCAGAAUCUUGGUGUUGGUCCAUACAGAAAUGGAGAAGAGUAUUAAACCAUAUUUAAGAAGAAUAAUAAUAAUAAAAGGUAAGUGAUCAAAUGCCCUAAGCAAAUAAGCCCAUUAGUUCAAAAUAUUAUUAUUAUUAUUAUUUUUACUUUUCAUUUUCCUUGGGCAGCAAAAGAAUGACCACCGUCCUCCUCUGACCACCUUGCCACACCGUCUUGUUGUUAUUUAAAUUUGAUACAUAAUGAUAAAGCAUCAUCAAGGCACCUCAAUUCAUUUGACUUAAAACUCCCUGGUAUUCUAAAUGCAGUAGCAGUUUCCAACAUGUAGUCCUCUGACUGGGAUUUUAAUGAAAGGAUGUUCCUUUUCCUGUUUUUUUUUUUUAUUUGUUUGUUUGUGUGAUUCUGUGAAAAUAUUUAGCCAUUUUCAGCUUCUGAGAUAGUUUUCCAACUAUAAAAUAAAUAUCUGGUGUCAAGCAUUUCUGCUUCAGAAUGAAAUGAGAAGCGAAAGGCAGUAUCCAUUAAUUUAUAAUUAAACUGGUUGGGAAAGGGAAGCACAUGCUAGCAGAUUGGUCCUCGGUGACUGAUACGCUCCCUGCCACAGAGCCACUGCUGGAGGAUGAUUUAUUAUUUUUCCUAAUGUUCCUCAUUCUCGUUUCAGCCGAGAAGGUCACCCACAAAAGACAGAAUCCAGAAAAGAGGUGACACAGUUUGAC